UACGUAGGGACCAAGCGUUGUUCGGAUUUACUGGGCGUAAAGGGCGCGUAGGCGGCAAUUCAAGUCAGCUGUGAAAUCUCCGGGCUUAACUCGGAACGGUCAGCUGAUACUGCUUUGCUAGAGUGCAGAAGGGGCAAUCGGAAUUCUCGGUGUAGCGGUGAAAUGCGUAGAUAUCUGGAGGAAUACCGGUGGCGAAGGCGACAUCCUGGACCGACAUUGACGCUGAGGAGCGAAAGCUAGGGGAGCAAACGGG
This 253-nucleotide ribosomal RNA is filed under the name uncultured bacterium. Its description in RNAcentral is "partial 16S ribosomal RNA". It matches the Rfam family "Bacterial small subunit ribosomal RNA", at positions 524 to 776 of the family's 1533-position model. The record is from RNAcentral.